This 567-nucleotide ribosomal RNA is filed under the name uncultured fungus. RNAcentral describes it as "eukaryotic LSU rRNA". The stretch from base 187 to 340 matches the Rfam family "5.8S ribosomal RNA". The record is from RNAcentral. Lineage: Eukaryota; Fungi.
CUUGGUCAUUUAGAGGAAGUAAAAGUCGUAACAAGGUUUCCGUAGGUGAACCUGCGGAAGGAUCAUUAGUGAUUGCCCUAGUGGCUUAAAACUAUAUCCAUUUACACCUGUGAACCGUUUGAUUGACACUCUGUGUUGAUUUUACAAACAAUAUGUAAAGAAAGUCAAGUUAUUAUAACAAAAAAUAACUUUCAACAACGGAUCUCUUGGCUCUUGCAUCGAUGAAGAACGCAGCGAAAUGCGAUAAGUAAUGUGAAUUGCAGAAUUCAGUGAAUCACCGAAUCUUUGAACGCAACUUGCGCUCUCUGGUAUUCCGGAGAGCAUGCCUGUUUGAGUGUCAUGAAAUCUCAACCAUUAGGGUUUCUUAAUGGCUUGGAUUUGGGUGUUGCCAGUCUCUGGCUCGCCUUAAAGGAGUUAGCGAGUUUAACAAUGUCGUCUGGCGUAAUAAGUUUCGCUGGUAAGACUUGUGAAGUUUGCUUCUAAUCGUCUUCGGACAAUUACUUUGACUCUGGCCUCAAAUCAGGUAGGACUACCCGCUGAACUUAAGCAUAUCAAUAAGCGGAGGAA